UACGUAGGGUGCAAGCGUUGUCCGGAAUUAUUGGGCGUAAAGAGCUCGUAGGCGGUCUGUCGCGUCGGCUGUGAAAACCCGGAGCUCAACUCCGGGCCUGCAGUCGAUACGGGCAAACUAGAGUAUUGCAGGGGAGACUGGAAUUCCUGGUGUAGCGGUGAAAUGCGCAGAUAUCAGGAGGAACACCGAUGGCGAAGGCAGGUCUCUGGGCCACUACUGACGCUGGAGAAGCGGAAAAGCAUGGGGAGCGAACAGG
This 256-nucleotide ribosomal RNA is filed under the name uncultured bacterium. RNAcentral describes it as "partial 16S ribosomal RNA". It matches the Rfam family "Bacterial small subunit ribosomal RNA", at positions 524 to 776 of the family's 1533-position model. The record is from RNAcentral.